This 491-nucleotide ribosomal RNA is filed under the name uncultured bacterium. Its description in RNAcentral is "bacterial SSU rRNA". It matches the Rfam family "Bacterial small subunit ribosomal RNA", at positions 29 to 514 of the family's 1533-position model. The record is from RNAcentral.
AACGAACGCUGGCGGCGCGCCUAAUACAUGCAAGUCGAGCGAGAAGACGUAGCAAUACGUUUGUAAAGCGGCGAACGGGUGAGGAAUACAUGGGUAACCUACCCUCGAGUGGGGAAUAACUAGCCGAAAGGUUAGCUAAUACCGCGUACGCUCCUUGGACUUCGGUUCAGGGAGGAAAGCGAUACCGUGGGUAUCGCGCUCUUGGAUGGGCUCAUGUCCUAUCAGCUUGUUGGUGAGGAACGGCUCACCAAGGCUUCGACGGGUAGCUGGUCUGAGAGGACGAUCAGCCACACUGGCACUGCGACACGGGCCAGACUCCUACGGGAGGCAGCAGUAAGGAAUAUUGCGCAAUGGGCGAAAGCCCGACGCAGCGACGCCGCGUGGGGGAUGAAGGUCUUCGGAUUGUAAACCCCUUUCGGGAGGGAAGAUGGAACGAGCAAUCGUUCGGACGGUACCUCCAGAAGCAGCCACGGCUAACUUCGUGCCAGCCG